UACUUAAUGAUAAUUCAUCAAUAAAUCCACAAUUUAUUAUUUUAAUUUAAACUAAUUAAGUUU
Molecule: transfer RNA, 63 nt
Filed under: Ixodes persulcatus (taiga tick)
Lineage: Eukaryota; Metazoa; Arthropoda; Arachnida; Ixodida; Ixodidae
Description: tRNA-His
Source: RNAcentral